This 343-nucleotide long non-coding RNA is filed under the name Ananas comosus (pineapple). RNAcentral's name for it is "long non-coding RNA (ACOM_LNC026611)". The record is from RNAcentral. Lineage: Eukaryota; Viridiplantae; Streptophyta; Magnoliopsida; Poales; Bromeliaceae.
UCCGUCCGAUGUAGGAUUAUUGGCAUAGCUAGUCACCUUGUCAUUCAGACUCCGACAUUGUCUAUCCGUCCGAUGUAGGAUUAUUGGCAUAGCUAGUCACCUUGUCAUUCAGACUCCGACAUUGUCUAUCAUUCAGACUCCGGCAUUGUCUAUCACAUUGUCUUUCAGACUUUGCUCAGCUGAGACUGACAACACAUUUCUAGUGGGUGAACCGGCUCUCAUACCAAAUGUAACAAACCAACUCACUAGCAAUAAUAACUUGUUGGACCCAAACACCGGCCCAAAAUGCUUAAGCCCAGUUAUUAUUACUAGUGCCUAAAUAUCUUUUAUAGCCAAUCACACC